UGAGGAAUAUUGGUCAAUGGGUGCAAGCCUGAACCAGCCAUCCCGCGUGAAGGACGACUGCCCUAUGGGUUGUAAACUUCUUUUGUAUAGGGAUAAACCUACCCUCGUGAGGGUAGCUGAAGGUACUAUACGAAUAAGCACCGGCUAACUCCGUGCCAGCAGCCGCGGUAAUACGGAGGGUGCAAGCGUUAUCCGGAUUUAUUGGGUUUAAAGGGUCCGUAGGCGGACUUAUAAGUCAGUGGUGAAAGCCUGUCGCUUAACGAUAGAACUGCCAUGGAUACUGUAAGUCUUGAGUAUAUUUGAGGGAUCUGGAAUAAGUAGGGUAGCGGUGAAGUGCAUAGAUAUUACUUAGAACACCAAUUGCGAAUGCAUGUUACCAAGAUAUAACUGACGCUGA
RNAcentral lists this ribosomal RNA (397 nucleotides) under uncultured bacterium. Its description in RNAcentral is "bacterial SSU rRNA". It matches the Rfam family "Bacterial small subunit ribosomal RNA", at positions 355 to 749 of the family's 1533-position model. The record is from RNAcentral.